UACGUAGGCAGCAAGCGUUGUUCGGAUUUACUGGGCGUAAAGAGUGCGUAGGCGGUCCUGUAAGUUUGGUGUGAAAUCUCCCGGCUCAACUGGGAGGGUGCGCCGAAGACUGCAGGGCUUGAGUAUGGGAGAGGUAAGCGGAAUUCCUGGUGUAGCGGUGAAAUGCGUAGAUAUCAGGAGGAACACCAGUGGUGAAGACAGCGUACUGGACCAGAACUGACGCUGAGGCACGAAAGCGUGGGUAGCAAACAGG
This 253-nucleotide ribosomal RNA is filed under the name uncultured bacterium. Its description in RNAcentral is "partial 16S ribosomal RNA". It matches the Rfam family "Bacterial small subunit ribosomal RNA", at positions 524 to 776 of the family's 1533-position model. The record is from RNAcentral.